GUAGCUAAUACCGCAUAACGUCGCAAGACCAAAGAGGGGGACCUUCGGGCCUCUUGCCAUCGGAUGUGCCCAGAUGGGAUUAGCUUGUUGGUGGGGUAACGGCUCACCAAGGCGACGAUCCCUAGCUGGUCUGAGAGGAUGACCAGCCACACUGGAACUGAGACACGGUCCAGACUCCUACGGGAGGCAGCAGUGGGGAAUAUUGCACAAUGGGCGCAAGCCUGAUGCAGCCAUGCCGCGUGUAUGAAGAAGGCCUUCGGGUUGUAAAGUACUUUCAGCGGGGAGGAA
RNAcentral lists this ribosomal RNA (288 nucleotides) under Escherichia coli. Its description in RNAcentral is "partial 16S ribosomal RNA". It matches the Rfam family "Bacterial small subunit ribosomal RNA", at positions 159 to 449 of the family's 1533-position model. RNAcentral also lists the same sequence under 1 other name. The record is from RNAcentral. Lineage: Bacteria; Pseudomonadati; Pseudomonadota; Gammaproteobacteria; Enterobacterales; Enterobacteriaceae.